GUCAAUGAAUAUUGUCUAGCUCAUCGUUCUUCUUCGCAAGCCCUAGUAGGAAACGAGACUUGAUCUUUAGAGUGUUUAGAGACAUGGGUUCGCAACAUAAAGAGGUUGAAUCGAAUUGUCGAAGGCCGGCAAUUGCAGCUGUACUGCCAGUGGUGGCAAAAGAUGAUGUGCCAUAACAGAAUCUGGUGGCAGAAGAUGUGGUUGUGGCAGAGGAGAUUCUUGUCAGCAUUCAACCUCCUCCAAAAAAAAAUUAUUUGGAUAUUCUAGAACAAAUGUUUUGGCCAGAAUAAAUGGAGAUGAACCAAGGACAAACAAGUGAGUGAGGAUCGGAUAAACCAAUAUCAACAGUGGGAGUGGCACAACACAAUGGGAGGGGGAGAUACUUCCAAGAAAAUAUUCAACUAGAGCAUCAAACAACUUUAAAUCAAAGUUUCAUAAAAAUGAUAAAGCUCCAAUCAACCUUGAUUGAUUAGAAAAUGUUAUUUAAUUAAAACGAAUUUUGUACACAUAUUUAAUUAGGUUGUAAUAAUUAGGUAAUUUAAUUAUAUUUAUGGGUAUGAAAAGUAAUACUA
Ipomoea triloba (trilobed morning glory) is the source of this 572-nucleotide long non-coding RNA. RefSeq lists it as uncharacterized. The record is from RefSeq and is a predicted model, not a curated record. NCBI's taxonomy places the organism in Eukaryota, Viridiplantae, Streptophyta, Magnoliopsida, Solanales, Convolvulaceae. The transcript has 3 exons.